RNAcentral lists this ribosomal RNA (1541 nucleotides) under Salmonella enterica subsp. enterica serovar Typhimurium. Its description in RNAcentral is "partial 23S ribosomal RNA". It matches the Rfam family "Bacterial large subunit ribosomal RNA", at positions 535 to 1874 of the family's 2925-position model. Lineage: Bacteria; Pseudomonadati; Pseudomonadota; Gammaproteobacteria; Enterobacterales; Enterobacteriaceae. The record is from RNAcentral.
GGAGUGAAAAAGAACCUGAAACCGUGUACGUACAAGCAGUGGGAGCCCCACCACUAAGCCAGUGGUGAACUCCACAUCCGCAUCCUUUGCUGAGGAUACGGUUAACGGAGCGAAAGCGACGUUCAACCGCAAAACAAGCAGAGGGGGCUUAGUGGUGGGGUGACUGCGUACCUUUUGUAUAAUGGGUCAGCGACUUAUAUUCUGUAGCAAGGUUAACCGAAUAGGGGAGCCGGAGGGAAACCGAGUCUUAAUUGGGCGUUAAGUUGCAGGGUAUAGACCCGAAACCCGGUGAUCUAGCCAUGGGCAGGUUGAAGGUUGGGUAACACUAACUGGAGGACCGAACCGACUAAUGUUGAAAAAUUAGCGGAUGACCUGUGGCUGGGGGUGAAAGGCCAAUCAAACCGGGAGAUAGCUGGUUCUCCCCGAAAGCUAUUUAGGUAGCGCCUCGUGAAUUCAUCUCCGGGGGUAGAGCACUGUUUCGGCUAGGGGGCCAUCCCGGCUUACCAACCCGAUGCAAACUGCGAAUACCGGAGAAUGUUAUCACGGGAGACACACGGCGGGUGCUAACGUCCGUCGUGAAGAGGGAAACAACCCAGACCGCCAGCUAAGGUCCCAAAGUCAUGGUUAAGUGGGAAACGAUGUGGGAAGGCCCAGACAGCCAGGAUGUUGGCUUAGAAGCAGCCAUCAUUUAAAGAAAGCGUAAUAGCUCACUGGUCGAGUCGGCCUGCGCGGAAGAUGUAACGGGGCUAAACCAUGCACCGAAGCUGCGGCAGCGAACGUAUCACCCAAGACAACUUUACGGAGUUGACGAUUGACGGAGCGAAGCGACGUCAAAGCGUUCAUUAAAGUCGAGUUGGCUUAGGGAUACGUUCGUUGGGUAGGGGAGCGUUCUGUAAGCCUGUGAAGGUGUGUCGUGAGGCAUGCUGGAGGUAUCAGAAGUGCGAAUGCUGACAUAAGUAACGAUAAAGCGGGUGAAAAGCCCGCUCGCCGGAAGACCAAGGGUUCCUGUCCAACGUUAAUCGGGGCAGGGUGAGUCGACCCCUAAGGCGAGGCCGAAAGGCGUAGUCGAUGGGAAACGGGUUAAUAUUCCCGUACUUGGUGUUACUGCGAAGGGGGGACGGAGAAGGCUAUGUUGGCCGGGCGACGGUUGUCCCGGUUUAAGCGUGUAGGUGUGUGUUCCAGGUAAAUCCGGUUCACUUUAACACUGAGGCGUGACGACGAGGCACUACGGUGCUGAAGCAACAAAUGCCCUGCUUCCAGGAAAAGCCUCUAAGCAUCAGGUAACACGAAAUCGUACCCCAAACCGACACAGGUGGUCAGGUAGAGAAUACCAAGGCGCUUGAGAGAACUCGGGUGAAGGAACUAGGCAAAAUGGUGCCGUAACUUCGGGAGAAGGCACGCUGACACGUAGGUGAAGUGAUUUACUCAUGGAGCUGAAGUCAGUCGAAGAUACCAGCUGGCUGCAACUGUUUAUUAAAAACACAGCACUGUGCAAACACGAAAGUGGACGUAUACGGUGUGACGCCUGCCCGGUGCCGGAA